Glossina fuscipes is the source of this 1088-nucleotide long non-coding RNA. RefSeq lists it as uncharacterized. NCBI's taxonomy places the organism in Eukaryota, Metazoa, Arthropoda, Insecta, Diptera, Glossinidae. The record is from RefSeq and is a predicted model, not a curated record. The transcript is spliced from 2 exons.
AUACCAAAUACAAACAAAAAAAAAAAAAAAAAAUAAAGUUCAGUUGUCUGCGGUAUAUGCAGGCUAUUUUAGGCAAAAGGAAAAAUGCAAGGCGACAAAUUAUCCCUUGUACUAACUUUUAGUUAUGAUAUAUAUUAGAAACUUCAUAUAUGAGCUUUAAAGAUAAAUUUUUUAAUUAUUUUGUGCUUAAUUUUUUUCCAGAGUAAUUUUAUUUCAAAGGGAUAUGGAAUUGGCUUAGAAGGAGAUUAUGAAAAAUAUAAGAAUGUCCUGAAUGGCUCCAACGACUGUUCAUCGUAUUAAUUGCUGACUUUGCUCAUAACUGCCCUUGGAUACCUUCAAUAAUAUCCUUGGAAUCAUUCCAUGAACUAUCCAUAUCAAUCCGAAAAAAGUUUCCUGUUCAAUCACCCCAGUGACAUAAUCCGCAAGUUAAUGCAAAAUGAUGGUAAACCAACAUUGGACCGGGCGCAAACAUAUCGAUGACUUGCUCAAAACAUCUUUUAUAAACACCGAAGAAGAGAAGCCGAAGGUUGUUAAGCAAGUCAGAAGUUCGAUUAUGAUCCGAAAGAUACUUCAUGAAAUCAUAAGAUUGUUAUGCUUCGAACAAAUUGUGCUAUGUAACACGUAAUUAAUGUAAAGAGAACAACCCUUCUAAUAGCUUACAGUCGCUGAAUUUCGAAAAACGAUAUGACAAGUAUGCAGCAAGAAUGGCACUGUUACGAAAGCCAACAUCGUCUUACGAGAAAGACAAUUUAAAGCUUCUGAAAGCGAAAACGUUGCAACUACCAUUAAUUUCGUCCUGGUAACGGUUCCCGACAGCUCUUCUAACAAUUGUAAUUACAAUCAUUUAAAUCCUUUGCCUUUGACUGUUGGACUUGAUUCCAAAUGUAGUUGUUGAACUUUCGACUGACAGCAGUUAUCUGAGAAGAUAAGGUACGCUGUGGAUGUAAGCUGACAAAAAAAAGUCAUCGAAUUUUCGUCAAGGACAACUAAAGAACGACAAUGAAAGAAAGAAAGAGCGGCAAAAUCGUGCUAAUACGUUGAAACAGAAACUAAUCUUCAAUUCAAGGCAGUCCAUUAAUAAUGCAGUG